GAUCAUUAACAAACUCCCGGAGGCCUCCCUUCGUUCGCGAGGGGUGUGCUAUCCCCCGGGUUACGUUUAAACACACUGUGUACCUUUACCUUUGUUGCUUCCCGCCGGGCGUAAAAACUCGACGGGAAGGUCUACCAAACUUCUGUUUUCCAAUGCAGUCAGUAACGGCGUCUAGUACGCUUGAAUAUAAAAGUUAAAACUUUCAACAACGGAUCUCUUGGUUCUCGCAUCGAUGAAGAACGCAGCGAAAUGCGAUAAGUAGUGUGAAUUGCAGAAUUCAGUGAAUCAUCGAAUCUUUGAACGCACAUUGCGCCCUCUGGUAUUCCGGAGGGCAUGCCUGUCCGAGCGUCGUCAAAACCCCUCGGGUCAUUUUCUUGACUCGGUCAUGGCGGAAGACUGCCAUUCUCGGUGGUCCCCGCUUAAAGGAAUCGACGCGGAGAGCUAGGGCCCUCACAGAUAGUAAGAAAUUCGUCUGUCGAAGGCUCGCGCUGUCCAGCCGGCAACCCAUACUUUUCUAGGUUGACCUCGGAUCAGGUAGGGAUACCCGCUGAACUUAAGCAUAUCAAUAAGCGGAGGAAAAGAAACCAACAGGGAUUGCCUUAGUAACUGCGAGUGAAGCGGCAAAAGCUCAGAUUUGAAACCUGUCGUCUUUGGCGAUCGGAUUGUAAUCUGGAGAGUCAUCUUCUGGUGGGCAGCCGGUCCAAGUUCCUUGGAACAGGACGUCAGAGAGGGUGAGAAUCCCGUAUCUGGCCGGCUUGUUCUGCCUUGUGAAGUGACUUCGACGAGUCGAGUUGUUUGGGAAUGCAGCUCAAAAUGGGUGGUAAAUUUCAUCUAAAGCUAAAUAUUGGCGAGAGACCGAUAGCGCACAAGUAGAGUGAUCGAAAGAUGAAAAGCACUUUGAAAAGAGAGUCAAAAAGUACGUGAAAUUGUUGAAAGGGAAGCGCUUGAGACCAGAUUCGGGUUGAGGUGAUCAGCGGUGCUUCUGUGCCGUGCACUUGCCUCUUCUCGGGCCAGCAUCGGUUGUGGCGACGGGAUAAAGACUUGAGGAAUGUGGCUCCUUUCGGGGAGUGUUAUAGCCUCAGGUGUAAUGCCGCCAGCCGCGACCGAGGACCGC
This 1114-nucleotide ribosomal RNA is filed under the name fungal sp. ARIZ AZ1007. RNAcentral's name for it is "eukaryotic LSU rRNA". The stretch from base 521 to 1114 matches the Rfam family "Eukaryotic large subunit ribosomal RNA", at positions 1 to 600 of the family's 3401-position model. Lineage: Eukaryota; Fungi. The record is from RNAcentral.